UGGCUCAGAUUGAACGCUAGCGGGAUGCCUUACACAUGCAAGUCGAACGGCAGCACGGACUUCGGUCUGGUGGCGAGUGGCGAACGGGUGAGUAAUGUAUCGGAACGUGCCUAGUAGCGGGGGAUAACUACGCGAAAGCGUAGCUAAUACCGCAUACGCCCUACGGGGGAAAGCAGGGGAUCGCAAGACCUUGCACUAUUAGAGCGGCCGAUAUCGGAUUAGCUAGUUGGUGGGGUAACGGCUCACCAAGGCGACGAUCCGUAGCUGGUUUGAGAGGACGACCAGCCACACUGGGACUGAGACACGGCCCAGACUCCUACGGGAGGCAGCAGUGGGGAAUUUUGGACAAUGGGGGAAACCCUGAUCCAGCCAUCCCGCGUGUGCGAUGAAGGCCUUCGGGUUGUAAAGCACUUUUGGCAGGAAAGAAACGUCAUGGGCUAAUACCCCGUGAAACUGACGGUACCUGCAGAAUAAGCACCGGCUAACUACGUGCCAGCAGCCGCGGUAAUACGUAGGGUGCAAGCGUUAAUCGGAAUUACUGGGCGUAAAGCGUGCGCAGGCGGUUCGGAAAGAAAGAUGUGAAAUCCCAGAGCUUAACUUUGGAACUGCAUUUUUAACUACCGAGCUAGAGUGUGUCAGAGGGAGGUGGAAUUCCGCGUGUAGCAGUGAAAUGCGUAGAUAUGCGGAGGAACACCGAUGGCGAAGGCAGCCUCCUGGGAUAACACUGACG
RNAcentral lists this ribosomal RNA (730 nucleotides) under Achromobacter sp. 111117_136_C_E8. RNAcentral's name for it is "bacterial SSU rRNA". It matches the Rfam family "Bacterial small subunit ribosomal RNA", at positions 20 to 745 of the family's 1533-position model. Lineage: Bacteria; Pseudomonadati; Pseudomonadota; Betaproteobacteria; Burkholderiales; Alcaligenaceae. The record is from RNAcentral. RNAcentral also lists the same sequence under 2 other names.